UAGAGGGGCGGCGUGCUAUACAUGCAAGUCGAACGAACUCUGGUAUUGAUUGGUGCUUGCAUCAUGAUUUACAUUUGAGUGAGUGGCGAACUGGUGAGUAACACGUGGGAAACCUGCCCAGAAGCGGGGGAUAACACCUGGAAACAGAUGCUAAUACCGCAUAACAACUUGGACCGCAUGGUCCGAGCUUGAAAGAUGGCUUCGGCUAUCACUUUUGGAUGGUCCCGCGGCGUAUUAGCUAGAUGGUGGGGUAACGGCUCACCAUGGCAAUGAUACGUAAGCCGACCUCGAGAGGGUAAUCGGCCACAUUGGGACUGAGACACGGCCCAAACUCCUACGGGAGGCAGCAGUAGGGAAUCUUCCACAAUGGACGAAAGUCUGAUGGAGCAACGCCGCGUGAGUGAAGAAGGGUUUCGGCUCGUAAAACUCUGUUGUUAAAGAAGAACAUAUCUGAGAGUAACUGUUCAGGUAUUGACGGUAUUUAACCCAGAAAGCCACGGCUAACUACGUGCCAGCAGCCGCGGUAAUACGUAGGUGGCAAGCGUUGUCCGGAUUUAUUGGGCGUAAAGCGAGCGCAGGCGGUUUUUUAAGUCUGAUGUGAAAGCCUUUCGGCUCAACCGAAGAAGUGCAUCGGAAACUGGGAAACUUGAGUGCAGAAGAGGACAGUGGAACUCCAUGUGUAGCGGUGAAAUGCGUAGAUAUAUGGAAGAACACCAGUGGCGAAGGCGGCUGUCUGGUCUGUAACUGACGCUGAGGCUCGAAAGUAUGGGUAGCAAACAGGAUUAGAUACCCUGGUAGUCCAUACCGUAAACGAUGAAUGCUAAGUGUUGGAGGGUUUCCGCCCUUCAGUGCUGCAGCUAACGCAUUAAGCAUUCCGCCUGGGGAGUACGGCCGCAAGGCUGAAACUCAAAGGAAUUGACGGGGGCCCGCACAAGCGGUGGAGCAUGUGGUUUAAUUCGAAGCUACGCGAAGAACCUUACCAGGUCUUGACAUACUAUGCAAAUCUAAGAGAUUAGACGUUCCCUUUCGGGGACAUGGAUACAGGUGGUGCAUGAUUGUCGUCAGCUCGUGUCGUGAGAUGUUGGGUUAAGUCCCGCAACGAGCGCAACCCUUAUUAUCAGUUGCCAGCAUUAGGUUGGGCACUCUGGUGAGACUGCCGGUGACAA
This 1166-nucleotide ribosomal RNA is filed under the name Lactiplantibacillus plantarum. RNAcentral describes it as "bacterial SSU rRNA". It matches the Rfam family "Bacterial small subunit ribosomal RNA", at positions 30 to 1161 of the family's 1533-position model. The record is from RNAcentral. Lineage: Bacteria; Bacillati; Bacillota; Bacilli; Lactobacillales; Lactobacillaceae.